RNAcentral lists this ribosomal RNA (248 nucleotides) under uncultured soil bacterium. RNAcentral describes it as "partial 16S ribosomal RNA". It matches the Rfam family "Bacterial small subunit ribosomal RNA", at positions 26 to 302 of the family's 1533-position model. The record is from RNAcentral.
AGAACGAACGCUGGCGGCAUGCCUAAUACAUGCAAGUCGAACGAACACUUCGGUGUUAGUGGCGCACGGGUGCGUAACGCGUGGGAAUCCGCCCUUGGGUUCGGAAUAACAGUUGGAAACGACUGCUAAUACCGGAUGAUGACGAAAGUCCAAAGAUUUAUCGCCCAGGGAUGAGCCCGCGUAGGAUUAGCUAGUUGGUGAGGUAAAGGCUCACCAAGGCGACGAUCCUUAGCUGGUCUGAGAGGAUG